GAUGAAGAACGCAGUGAAAUGCGAUAAGUAAUGUGAAUUGCAGAAUUCAGUGAAUCAUCGAAUCUUUGAACGCACAUUGCGCCCGCCAGUAUUCUGGCGGGCAUGCCUGUUCGAGCGUCAUUUCAACCAUCAAGCCCCCGGCUUGUGUUGGGGACCUGCGGCUGCCGCAGGCCCUGAAAACCAGUGGCGGGCUCGCUGUCACACCGAGCGUAGUAGAUUUUAAUCUCGCUCAGGGCGUGCUGCGGGUUCCGGCCGUAAAAAGCCUUAUUUACCCAAGGUUGACCUCGGAUCAGGUAGGAAGACCCGCUGAACUUAAGCAUAUCAAUAAGCGGAGGA
This 336-nucleotide unclassified non-coding RNA is filed under the name soil metagenome. Its description in RNAcentral is "partial contains 5.8S ribosomal RNA, internal transcribed spacer 2, and large subunit ribosomal RNA". The stretch from base 1 to 120 matches the Rfam family "5.8S ribosomal RNA", at positions 35 to 154 of the family's 154-position model. The record is from RNAcentral.